UCCAGGGUAGCCUAGUGGACAUGGCAUCUGCCCAGUAAACGGAACACUGUGGGUUCGAUUCCCAUCCAUGGAC
Molecule: transfer RNA, 73 nt
Filed under: Cordylochernes scorpioides
Lineage: Eukaryota; Metazoa; Arthropoda; Arachnida; Pseudoscorpiones; Chernetidae
Description: tRNA-Thr
Rfam family: tRNA
About the family: Transfer RNA (tRNA) molecules are approximately 80 nucleotides in length. Their secondary structure includes four short double-helical elements and three loops (D, anti-codon, and T loops).
Source: RNAcentral